AUUGAACGCUGGCGGCAUGCCUUACACAUGCAAGUCGAACGGCAGCACGGGUGCUUGCACCUGGUGGCGAGUGGCGAACGGGUGAGUAAUACAUCGGAACAUGUCCUGUAGUGGGGGAUAGCCCGGCGAAAGCCGGAUUAAUACCGCAUACGAUCUACGGCUGAAAGCGGGGGACCUUCGGGCCUCGCGCUAUAGGGUUGGCCGAUGGCUGAUUAGCUAGUUGGUGGGGUAAAGGCCUACCAAGGCGACGAUCAGUAGCUGGUCUGAGAGGACGAUCAGCCACACUGGGACUGAGACACGGCCCAGACUCCUACGGGAGGCAGCAGUGGGGAAUUUUGGACAAUGGGCGAAAGCCUGAUCCAGCAAUGCCGCGUGUGUGAAGAAGGCCUUCGGGUUGUAAAGCACUUUUGUCCGGAAAGAAAUCCUUGGCCCUAAUACGGUCGGGGGAUGACGGUACCGGAAGAAUAAGCACCGGCUAACUACGUG
Molecule: ribosomal RNA, 486 nt
Filed under: uncultured bacterium
Lineage: Bacteria
Description: partial 16S ribosomal RNA
Rfam family: Bacterial small subunit ribosomal RNA
Source: RNAcentral